ACUUAGGUGCACACUUAGGUAAAACCAAUUUUUUUUUAGUUGAGACUGUGUCUAUAUGAAGUGUAUGUCCAGGAAACUCGAGUAUUGGAGUUUGUGUCCAAGAAUGAUAGAAACAAGAUUGCGCAAUGACGAGUUCAAAUUUUGUUCGUUCUGCACAUCUACGUCACGGUUGACCAACUUGCAAUCAGCUGAUUUUCAGUUGUUUGUUUUUCUUCGCAAUAAGAAGCAAUUUUGUAUUGCAGGCAUACAAAAUCAUGAAUAUCAUCAAAAUUUAAUAUUAAUAAAAGAUAUCAUUAUAAGUGAAUAUUUUAUAGUGAACAUUUAUAUACAUAUUCAUUUAAUUGAAUUUUCAUUGUAUUAUUUAAAAAGAGACAAUCUUUGCUGUGUUUGUUUCAACCAUAUACAUUUAUGUAAAUAAAAAGAUUGAAUAUUUUGUAACCAAGUAUCAAUUUAUUGUUUUAUUUAAUUUUCUUUUUUUACUAAACAUAUGUUCAAUUAUGUUUUUAUUUAAAGAACGAAUCCUAAAAUACAUUCUAGCUCUGAAAAAUAAUUCUUUUAUUUUGGUGUUACAAUUAACAAAAUUACUUAAAUCUAAAUGCUUCUGGACGUAAUUUGCACAUAUGUAUGUACACAUAUGCAAAUCAGUACCAUUUAAGUCGUCAAAUACUGCUUGCAAGGCUCUCUCCAUCAACAUAUCUGUUGGUUUAGGAUAAAAACAGUGGUUAUGAACUUAAUGAACUUUAAUAUAUUUUGCAACAUACAUACAGUAUUUUUUUGUCUUUCUCACCGAUGACCUCUUCUGCACUUUGAGGUGCCUCUCCAACCUCGUUUUCUUGAAUUACUUCAACAGCGUCGGUAUUCUUCAAGAUUGUUGUCAACAUCUCUUUUUUGGAACGAGACUCCAUCCUUUUCUGCCGUUCAUUAGCCUCUGCAGGAGCAGUGGUUAAUGUUGGAAAAGCGCUGGGUAGCAACUUCGUUGGAUUUCGCGAACUUAAACCUGCAAGUGUGUUGGGUUACAAAAGUAAAAUUAUUGUUAUCAAAAUGCUAAUUACCCAUUUCAAACUGCAAAUUUCUUUCGAAAGCUUCUGCCGCGAAGUGCAUUUCACAAACGCACGCAUUUUUAACGUUAAUUUUGUCCGUCCGACGACAAAAAUGAAUCCAUUGUUUUAAUGCGGCUUUAUCCUUAGGGAAAUGAAAAAAUCUCCUCUUCCUCACUAUUUUUACCAUUGUUAUUAUUACAACCGAACACUGCACAACGCAUUUUAAAAAUACAGAAUUUAACAAUUAAUACAACACUUGAAAACACAAUUCGAAUUCACUUUCAAUAGCGCGGGCGAAUAAUAAGUCAACCGUGACGUCAGCAAGAACAGCUGACUGAAAGCAAACAAGCGCAUUGCGUAAUCUCUUCCUCUAACAUUCUUGGUUUGUGUCAUUGUAUAAACCUACAAGUUACAAAAGAAUCAGCUGUUUUCCAAGAAUUUUUCACAGCUGAGAUCAGCUGAUCAAAAUCUGCCUUAUUUAGGCACAGAGAUGUAAUUAAAAGAAAUGUAGUCGAUCAACUUUUUUGUGAAAAAGUAUUUGUAACGGAAAACAUUAAUGAAAACUUUCAAGAAUAUUUUUUGAAACAAAAGUUUAUUGGAUAUUUAUUGCUCUUCCUCACCACUUCUGAAGUUGCAAUGUAGGCGCGCUACCCAUCUUUUUUGGGUGUUCGUUCCCCAGGAUCCCCUAUUUUCACCAUUUUUAUAUAUAUAGUUUUAAAUCAAUCUACUUAUUAUAAAAAAUAUGACUAGACAAAAAUAAAUAUAUAAAGUCAGGUACAAUUCAUGAAUAUUAAUUACAUUAAAAAUAUAACAUUGACAAUAUAUGUCAAAACAAUCAACUGGAAACUAUUUAAACAAAAACCAAAAUAAAUAUAAAAAAUCAGGUACAAUUCCAUUGUAAACAUUAACAAUACAAGUCAUAACAAUCAACUUGUAAAUAUUUAAAUAUUAUAUAUAUAUUUUUUUAUAAAAUUGGAAACUUUUAAUAAUAUAUUGAUACAAUAAUAAUAAAACCUAACACGGCAACACACUAUAGCAGAUUUGAGGCAUUUGAACGUUUUAGUAGUAGAAUAUUUGGGGGCAACCCGAACCAAGUGUCUAAUUUGUAGUAGAAUAUUUAGGGGCAACCCGUGCCAAAUGCCUAAUUUGUAGUAGAUUUUUGCAUAUGUGUUAGUGAAAAAUAAAGGAUUGGUUACUUGUAGGUUUAUACAAUGGUUUGUGUAAUUGCUGGAUUUGAGGGAUGGCUAUUAUAUUUUUCUUUUUUGUAUACUUGGCAUUGUUUUAUCAGUGUAUCUAUUCUUUGUCUCAUUUUAGGGAAAUAAUAUUUCUCCGGUAAUUACAUUUUAUUUUGCUGAGCUCUGUUGUGAGUCCGUAAAAUAAUUUCGUCUUGGUCCUUUUCAUUUAUGUCUCCUUCUUUCAUUUGAGUGAAUCUUAUUUUGAAGGAUCUAAAAUGUUCUGGAUAUAAUAUUUGAAACAGUCCCAUUACAUCUUCUGUCUUGUAGAUGCCGUUUAUGAAGGAUUUAAGUACUUUCUCAAUAUUUCUUUUAAAUUACCAUCAAAAUAUGUUAGUUGAAAAAUGGUAUGUCUAUGGAAUGUAGGGAAUGAAAUGAUAAACUUAUAGUCAAGAGGAUGUUCUUUGUAAAUAAAAAUUUAGUUUUUAAAAGCACGUAUACCCCAAUGCUGGGAAUAAGAAGAUGAGGAGAGCUUUGAGCACUAUGUUGCGUUUCUUUUAUUGAAGUAAUUAUUGUACUCAGCUAGGUAUGAUUACAAUCGUGUGUGAGUGGUUCGUGAUCUGUAUAAAUUUUUAAUUUACAACCACUAAAAAGGUGACGUUUGAAAGUCUUUACUGCCCAACAUAUAGCUAACAUUUCUUUUUUUGCGGUCUCGUAACUUUCUUCAGUUUUUGAUAGAGUUCUCGAUAUAAAAGCAAUUGAUAUGUCAGCUUGAGAGAGUACAGCUCCUAUCGCGUGGUCAGAGGCGUUUGUAGUUAAUAUAAAUUCUUUAUUGAAAUUGGGAUAUUGUAGAUAGUAUUACGUCAUCAGAUAUUAACGCAUUUUUUAGCUGUUCAAAUGGUUUCUUCGCCUCAUUAUUUAGAUGUAUUGUUUUCCUAGCCGAUGCUUCUUUUCAUAUUCUUCAAUUUUCUCCCCUGAGUAGUAGCGGCAUUGUACGGCAAAGAGAGAAGGGAGUAGUGUUUUUUGCCGUUCACUUACAUUGCGCGCCCAUAAGAUUGGUCGUAUCAGCUGACACGGGCCACGAUUCUAUGUACGUUUUUGGCUGUUUCUGCUAUUACUGUCUGAUAUCUUGUGCCGUUUUGAUUCGCAAGUUUUUGCUGUUAUCUAAAAAUGAGUUGCAAACCGAUUUACUUAAGGGGUUAGGGGUAGUGUUAUUUUACAAAAGUAGUAAUAUGGCAUUAUUAUAGAUACAUAUGUGUGUAGAUAAUGUGUUGAUUUGAAGUCACGAAAAUUUCAAAACAAAAAUUUAUUUCAAAAGUUAUAGGUGUUUGUGUUGACCCAGUUCCAAAAAAAGGGACGUGCGGCGACAACCAUAAGUCCUUGGAGAUUCAUCUAAAAUCAAUCGAACAAAAAAAUUAGUUUUAUAAAUAGAUAAACUCGGGCUGAUCGAAGGAUUUUUUUGUUUUCAGGAAAUUUUUUUCUAAAUUUUUGGGAAAAAAUCAGCAGUUUGUCUUAAAAAAUCGAAAUUUAUUAUGUAUUCUAAAAGCUGUAUAAAUUUCAUUAAAAUCUACUGCGUUUUCGAGUUACAGUUAUCACCAGUUCAAAAAACAUAGUUUUGAGAAAAACGCGUUUAAAGUUUCACACUAGCGCUUUGAAGUGCCCGAGCUCUCUUUGUUAUUUGUCGAAUAACUUAAAAUUUAUCGGAUCAACGUAAAAAUUCUAACUACAAUUGCAAUGUUUAUUGCAAGUUGUUAAAAAUCACCGACAAAAAUUUCCCGAUUGUAACAAAAAAACUUUAGUUUAAUUUUGAAAUAAUCAAUAUGUAAAAGAUAUGAAAUAAAAAGUUGUAUUGCAAUCGAAAAAUUACUGAAAAAUUACUCUUAUUAAUUUACAUUUCCCGAGAGUCAGGAGCAAGUAUGACACAUUUUUUUUCUAACUACCCCUAACCCCUUAAGGGGCCAUCCAUAAAUUACGUCACACGAAUUUAAGGACUUUUUAACCCUUCCCCCCGUCCUUGUCACAAGUUGUCACAUUUUGAACUAGCCUCCCCCCUUUCGUGACGUCACACAUUUACCAAUUUUAUGGAUUUAUCAAAAAAUAAAAAAAAACAGGUUAUUCUACUUAUUCUUAUAUUUAUUGAAUAAUCUUUACUAAAAUAAACAUUUAGUUAAAUAUUAAAAUACAGACACAAUGAAUGACUAGUCAAGAAAUAAUAGAUACUUAAUUAUGCUAAUUAAAAAUACAAAACUUAAUCAUCUUGUGCCCAUGGACUUGUGACCCACUCCUUUAAAUCAUUUAUUCCUGGUAAAUCAGGCACUUCAUUUUCGUUCUGAAUUUGGAUGUCAGGAACAUCUUUCGUAUCAACAUCGCCUUCUUCCAUACAUAAAGCAUCGUCAUCAUUCAUUGAGCAGAGAAAUCUCGGGCACGUCUAGCCGCAAUCCUUUGAGGACGAAUUUUCGAUAGGUAACAGCUCUUGUUUUUUAUGUGAUUGUUUGUGUUGAUUGGUGGCUUCAUAUGAAAAAAAAUAUAGUCCACAUAUACUACACGAUCUUUUAAAUAAGUAUGUCUCCACACUACGGCAAUAACUAUCAUAUGGAACUUGUUUCAGAUGGGAUGAUGCUUGGAGAUUUAAUAAUACCUGUAGUAAUAAUGGAGCAAACUUAGCGUCUUUGUCAUCACACCCUGUGACUCCAUAACCUUCUGAUGUUUGUUUAAUUAACACAGGUGGUGGUAAAAAUCCUUCUUUUAAUAAUUUCCAAAGACUAGAACGUCUUACACCGCAACAUGCAAUAGUUUCACAUUUAACUAUUUGUAAAAAAUAUUGUGACUCACGUAUGUGAUCAGCAUACCAAGUAGCAUUAUUUUUCAACAUCAUAGCCUGACCAAUAUCCAGUCCAGUAACAGUUGGUGCAACAUAUUCAGCAACGACUGGAAAAUUAUCAAUGACUAACUUGCUCCUAAUGUCAGCCAACACAUUGACUGCAAUUUCGAAGUUUCGUUUUUCUACAUCUAAGUCAGUAGUUCGAAUACUUGAAUCAAGAUGUGACCCAAAAUCAUCAUGAUGAUCAUCCUGAGGCAUGUGUAGCUAUAUAAAUUGUUCAUAAAUAUAAUCAAAUUUUCAAUUGCAGAACAGCCGGUAAGAGAUACUGAACUUCCUAUUACCAGACAAGAAUAUGACAUAAUAACAUCUCAAUCAUCAUUAUGACACCAGGAUUGGUUGGUGCAUUAGAUCGUUCAAACGUUUCUAGUAGGAAUGCUAUGUAUAUUAUUUCUGCAACUCUGAAGAGAGUUGGAGUUAAUUUAAAGCUAUAAGACUAUUCAGCGCAGUCGUAAUGUUUUACGUACAGAAAUUACAAAGGGGUUAGAAGAUGGGUUGAGGCCUGAAGAUAAUUAUAUUGUGCACUGGGACGGGAUCCCUUUAACCGAUAUCACGGGAACUGAUACUGUAGAUAGACUUCCAAUUAUUUUGACAUCAUGUGGUACUAAACAAUUGUUGGGAGUGCCGAAGCCAGUGAUCAAGCAGUUGCCAUUCUGGAAACUCUCAAGCAGUGGGGUAUUAGUUCAUAUGUCAAAGGGAUGUGUUUUGACACAGCAGCUGUCAAUACAGUAAUUCAUCAUGGGACUUGUGCUGAAUUAGAAAAAGCUUUGAAUCAAGAGUUGAUUCAUUUACCUUGUCGCCGUCACAUCUUUGAGCUUGUUUUGAAAGGUGUGUUUGAGGUGUAUUGGCCAACCACUUUAGGCCUAAAUGUUCAGUUCUUUUCUAGGUUUAAGAAUAAUUGGGAUAAUUUCAAUAAAUCCAAUUUCAAGGUUGGAAUGGACGAUAGUACUGUUAAUAAAGUAUACAUAUAUUAUCCAAUAGCAAACAAACAUUAGUAACCUUGAUUGAAGAAAAUUUAAGGGUUCAUAAAUUAGACUUUAUAAAAAAUAUAAACGCAAUGUGUUCUUGAUGAACAUAUCAGAUUUUCCUCACUCAACAAUACAAUUUAAAUUGAAAUUUGUAUGUCUACUUUACAAGUUUUUCAACCAAGAGAUGACUAUAAAGAACUUCUUAAGCUAUCGCUGAUUUUUUUUGGGGAAAAGCCAAAACCGAACUUUACGUUUAAAUAUCCAGGUCCAGCACACCAUGCUCGUUGGAUGGCAAAAGCCAUUUAUUCGUUAAAAAUUUUUCUCUCUAGAGAAGAAUUUAAACUAACAGCGCGAGAAUUCAAUCCCAGCGGGAUAAUGGUUCACUGCUUACAUUUUUCUUUGAAGAAUGCUUCGAAGAAAAUUCUAUGUACAAUUCUUCGAUACCAGGUAAUGCAUAAAAGUAAGCUAUGCAGAAUAAUGGUUCGCCGCUUACAUUUUUCUUUGAAGAAUUCUUCGAAGAAAAUUCUAUGUAGAAUUCUUCGAUACCAGGUAAUGCAUAAAAGUAAGCUAUGCGGCUAAAUUCUACUGUGUUCAUAUUCACAAGUCAAGUAAGUACGUAAAAAACGACAAAUACAAAUUGAUGGAAUAAAAUUUAUAAGUAAAUUUUUUCAUUAUUUCGUCAAAUCAUCAAGCAAAAAGUUGGUUACUAUUAGGUUAGUUUUUCCUGUUUUUAACAUUGAAGGACAUAGCUUCAAAUUUAUAAACAUACUCUUUUUGUAGAAUGUGUGAAAGUUGAAGGCUUCACCGAAUCGGAGUAUAUUCACCAAAUUCAAAAAAGUAUGAAGCUCGCCAAAGGCCGUUUCUUCAAGUCUCGUUGCUUGGAAAAAAACGAAAAGAGACUCAGCCACAAAAAUAAAAGAAAACCAUAAUGGCUAAAUGGGUAGCGACCAACAUCUCCGCUUUGGCAGCAUCCCGGAUCUUUCCGCUAGUUACCCGUCUGUAUAUACAUAUGUAUAUUUAACGUUUUUUAAAACCUGCUGUUUUCAACCUUUGAAUAUUUUAUAUAUACAUACAUAUAUACUCGUAAUAUGUUUUUAACGUUUUUAAACUAAGUAUUUCAAUUUGUAAUAAUUCAGUUCAGUUAAACACAUUUUGUUAUAACAAUUUUUAAGUGCAUUUCGCAUAAAAUAAAACCUUUAUAACAAUUGUAUUGAAUCUAGUGCAUUUUUCUUUUUAACAAAAAGUGUGAGUGGCCUACGAGUAUAAGGUGAGUUUUUGUACACAUAAUACUUAUUUUCAUACAAAUAUGCAAUUUUUCCCAUUGUUCGUUAACUGUGGCAUCGAAGAAUUCAUCGUUAACUGUGGCAUCAAAGAAAUCUUCGUUAACUAUGGCAUCGAAGAAUUCUUCUUCCCUAUGGUAAGCGAAAGGGGUGAUCUGUUACUUUUCGUAGGACGUCGCCGUGUUAAUUUUCAUCGGUCGGGGUAAGCGAUACAAUCAUGCUGCAUCGUUUACCUUGCUCGCUUACCAAUGUCCACCAUAUCCCGCUGGGAUGGCUUACGUGAAGUUUGUAUUUUUCCCGUUAAAAUUUAUUUAAAAGCUUGGUACACUGCUCCUUCUGCGAUUUUGGCACCAUACAAUGACCUGACCUUCAUGCAAGACUUAGUUGAGUAAAAAACUGGGAACAGCUCCGUGUCAACAGCAACUUGUUCAAAAAUGAAAAAUCACCUGUAGUAUUUAAGUAAACAGUUGGUCAUUAUUUCUCUUUUUGAUGAUAAUGUGCCUCUACCCACGAAACAGAAAAUGAUUCAAGCUUUGAAUAAAAAAGAAAUAAACACUGAUCCAAAAAAAAAAAUUGAAAUUGAGCCCGGAAAUUCAGACCAAUUCUUAUCAGUAGAUCUGAGUGACUUUAUUUCGAAAAAGUCAAUGACUAUAUUUCAAACAUUCGAUUUACCUACUGACUUCAUUGACAAAAAUGUGGAAUCUUGGUCACAGGAUGAAAGCUAUCAAGAGAAUCAGGUAUUUUUUAAGCGUCUCAGCGUGGUCAAUGAUGUAGCAGAAAUAGGUUUAAUAGAGGACUACAACAAAUGUCUUACUAAAAAUGAAGAACAAUUGCAAUGUUUAUUGCAAGUUGUUAAAAAUCACCGACAAAAAUUUCCCGAUUGUAACAAAUAGAGUUUAGUUUAAUUUUGAAAUAAUCAAUAUGUAAGAGAUAUGAAAUAAAAAGUUGUAUUGCAAUCGAAUAAUUACUAAAAAAUGGCUCUUAUUCAUUUACAUUUCCCGAAAGUCAGGAGCAAAUAGGACACAUUAUUUUUUCAGGCAACGAUUAA
This is an RNA transcript of Bactrocera dorsalis (oriental fruit fly), 8386 nucleotides long. RefSeq lists it as uncharacterized. The record is from RefSeq and is a predicted model, not a curated record. The transcript has 3 exons. Lineage: Eukaryota; Metazoa; Arthropoda; Insecta; Diptera; Tephritidae.